GCCCUGAUAUUUACCCAAAGGCUUCAUCUCGGAGGAAGACAAGUGCAGUUAACAUUUCAGCUGGAUUGUCGCACUACGACCUACAGUACUUUAGGGGUAGAAGUAGAUCAAACAGUUUUCCAGAUUUUUAGGUCACCUGAGUAAACUCAGGGGACCUAUUCAAUUGAUUUUCGUCCGUCGUGCUUUAACAAUUGAGCAUUUUAAACUUCUAUUUACAAAACAAAUAUCCAUGGGAGCUAUAUAUAAUCAUAGAAGAAGAUUCAACAAAUGUUCAAUAGAAAAUCAGAUGAAGUAUACUCAGCUCAAUAAUUCAUACAACUGGUAUGUAUGGCACUAUAUACAAAUACAAGUUAUUCUUAAUGCACAUAUUAUAUAACAAAUUUAUGGAUCAUAUUGUACAUUUUUAAAAAAAAAUACUCUCAUGUCAACACUUUACAGGAAAAAAAAUAAUAAACACUGUUUAAUAUGUAUGUAACAUAACACAUACAUAAAAGAUUAAUGUCUCAUAUAUAGUCAUGUCAACAAUUAUCAAGAAAAUAUCAACAUUCAACAAUUUCCUUGCAGUAACAACAUAUCACAAGAAGCUCAUCAUAUGCCAAGAAGAAAGAAAACAGGAUUAUACUAGCAGGGUCUGAAGAGGUCUUCUAAGGGAGAGGUAUGCUCAAUGGAAUGGGAAGGAUUCCUCGGUCUGGGUCGCUGUCUGGCAGGCUGGUAAACUACAGACUUAAUAGCUGGUGGAGGAGGGGACUUCCGACGGCGCAUAGUCUGGGGCCUCUCUCCUUCUCCAGGACGGAGGUGAAUGCGCUGAGAAGCAGGGUCAUCCAGCUUUUCACGGAACAGCCUCUGGAGAUCCAAGAUGACGGAUGUGUUGUUCCGGAGGGCACGCUCCUGCCUCUCGGCAAUCUCCUUGAGCCUUGACACCUCAUCCUUGUAGGGGGUGGUGUUAAUUCCUACAUCCUUGGUGCAUUUAGACGUUUCCUGGUCAGUGUCAAACUAACUGGUAUCCUCAAAAACAAGAAACUCUGACAGAAUACUUACAUCCUCCUUAGCAAGCACUGUUGAACUACUGGGAACCGUGGAUGUAGACUCAGACGAUACAACAGGCUCAGCUACAGGUAGACAGAAGGGUUCAGCUGGAGGCACAGAUGCAGGAGUAUCAGGCACUUCAGGGAGACAGCCACCAACAUCAACAGGAGUGUCAGCAGACACAGGUUCACCGAAAGAGACAGUUUGGAGCCACAACUGGGACAACAGCUGAAGUUCCACUGGGAGGGAAAGUGGACGGCAGAAUGGCACGCACUGUUACAGGGGUGGAUGGAAUAACCUGAACCUGUGUAGUGGCUGGAACUCGGCGCUUCCUCUCCCAGUAGGCUGCAGAGUCCUCAGUAGACAAUUGCCGUAUCAUGGUAAAUACUACCUUGCUCUCCUCCCUGACGUCAGCUGAAGAAGGAAGGGGAACAACAGAAGAUCCCUUCAAUGCUGAGUGCAAGGAAUGCCACUGAGGAUGCUUCUGGAAGUUAGUGUAAUCAUAAUGACAGUAUCCACAUAUUGGACACAUAUAGGGCCACUCAUCAAAAGUGAGAUGUUUAGAAAAUACAUGUCUUAAGGCAUAAUGCCGUUCUCCUCUAAGAUGGCACAAACAGCAUUCCCACAUUCUCCCACUCUUUCCAGCUGAAGAAAUAGACAUCUUGAAAGUCUGCAAGAAAUAACUGCACAAAAUUUGUGCAAGUGUUUCCUGGCAAUUUCAUGAGCAUGGUAAAGUUUAGACCUUAUUUCUUCAGCAAAAUCUCCAUAAGAUGAAAUUUCUUCUCCAUUGGAAGCUAAAGAAUGAUGUGUUGCCUCAUAUGGCAUUUGGAUCUCUCGACCAAACAUCAAUAAGUUUGGGGGUAAUGGGCCAAUAAAGUCAGUGGCAAGACAUUCCCUUGGAGCACCAUAUGACAUCUUUCCAAGAAGAGCUUUGGGUUUCUGUAUUGGAGGACUGGAGAAAUAUCGGGAUCUUUAAGUUAGCAGUUUGCAGAGCUGCAGAAGAAUAUUGACUCUGCCAGAUAGUACAGUCUGAUAAUGCAGUUUCCUGAUGUUUUUGUCUUGUAGUGACCUUCCAUGCAACAAUCUCUGAUUGUUCAGGAGACAAAGACUGAACAGAUAUGUCAGAACUGUAAUCUCUACCAACUAUCAAGUCCUCUUCUACUUGUCUGCUAAUUGGAGAAUCCAAAUCUCGACUUCUUCGUGCAGCACGGCUACGAGUUUUUCUCUUAGAACCCAUUUUGUAAUGAAUAAUGUGUUCAGAACAACCAACAAGACUUGUUAUAUUUCAAAAUAACCACUUACUGAAUCUGUAAAUAUAACAGAGAAUUUUUUUUUCUCUUAGCUGGGUUUGAUCACUGGGUCUGUAUUUUUUUUAAAAAUAGAUCCCGCCGUGGAUACCAAAAUAUUGUAACGACACCGGAUAAACGCACUGGUAUAUGAUAAUAAAACUAAAUUAUUUCUUUUUCUCUCUACUUCCAAAUUGAAGGUUAAAGAAAAUAAAAGACAAGUCUUGUAAAAUUAACAAAUCAACGGUUUAUUCUGAACACAUAUUUUAUUUCUAUAAAUCAGUAAUUUCAAAU
Ostrea edulis (European flat oyster) is the source of this 2606-nucleotide long non-coding RNA. RefSeq lists it as uncharacterized. Lineage: Eukaryota; Metazoa; Mollusca; Bivalvia; Ostreida; Ostreidae. The transcript is spliced from 6 exons. The record is from RefSeq and is a predicted model, not a curated record.